Molecule: ribosomal RNA, 379 nt
Filed under: Xanthias teres
Lineage: Eukaryota; Metazoa; Arthropoda; Malacostraca; Decapoda; Xanthidae
Description: partial 12S ribosomal RNA
Source: RNAcentral
UUAGAUACCCUAUUAUACCAAUAAAGUCUCAGAUUAUUAAUAGUUAUAUUCUUGAAAUUUAAAGAAUUUGGCGGUGAUUUAGUCUUGUUAGAGGAACCUGUUUUUGAAUCGAUACUCCACGUAAAAUCUUACUCACUUUAUUCAGUUUAUAUACCGUCAUUAUCAGAUAAUUUUUAAAAAAUUAAUUAUUAAACUUUAAGUAAAUAUUAAGUGAAAUUAGAUCCAGGUGUAGCUAAUAAGUGAGUUAAAAUGGGUUACAAUAAAUUUUAUUUAAUACGGAGUAAUUGUAGGAAGGUACAUAAAUGAAGGAGGAUUUAAUUGUAAUAUAAGUUUAAUAUGCUUUAAAGAUAUAAGCUCUAAAUCAUGUACAUAUCGCACG